Molecule: unclassified non-coding RNA, 336 nt
Filed under: soil metagenome
Description: partial contains 5.8S ribosomal RNA, internal transcribed spacer 2, and large subunit ribosomal RNA
Rfam family: 5.8S ribosomal RNA (bases 1-120)
Source: RNAcentral
GAUGAAGAACGCAGCGAAAUGCGAUAAGUAAUGUGAAUUGCAGAAUUCAGUGAAUCAUCGAAUCUUUGAACGCACAUUGCGCCCGCCAGUAUUCUGGCGGGCAUGCCUGUUCGAGCGUCAUUUCAACCAUCAAGCCCCCGGCUUGUGUUGGGGACCUGCGGCUGCCGCAGGCCCUGAAAAGCAGUGGCGGGCUCGCUGUCACACCGAGCGUAGUAGCAUACAUCUCGCUCUGGGCGUGCUGCGGGUUCCGGCCGUUAAACCACCUUCAUAACCCAAGGUUGACCUCGGAUCAGGUAGAAAGACCCGCUGAACUUAAGCAUAUCAAUAAGCGGAGGA